This 121-nucleotide non-coding RNA is filed under the name uncultured eukaryote. The record is from RNAcentral.
UCUUUUUUUUUCUUACACACUAAUUCAUAACCCAUCUGGAGGUUUAUAUUAUUUUCUUUCUAAACACUGGAACGCUCUACAAGAAGGCCGUAGGUAUCAGAAAAAAAAAAAAAAAAAAAAA